GACGAACGCUGGCGGCGCGCCUAAUACAUGCAAGUCGAGCGAGAAGACGUAGCAAUACGUUUGUAAAGCGGCGAACGGGUGAGGAAUACAUGGGUAACCUACCCUAGAGUGGGGAAUAACUAGCCGAAAGGUUAGCUAAUACCGCGUACGCUCCUUGGACUUCGGUUCAGGGAGGAAAGCGAUACCGAGGGUAUCGCGCUCUUGGAUGGGCUCAUGUCCUAUCAGCUUGUUGGUGAGGAACGGCUCACCAAGGCUUCGACGGGUAGCUGGUCUGAGAGGACGAUCAGCCACACUGGCACUGCGACACGGGCCAGACUCCUACGGGAGGCAGCAGUAAGGAAUAUUGCGCAAUGGGCGAAAGCCUGACGCAGCGACGCCGCGUGGGGGAGUGAAGGUC
This 397-nucleotide ribosomal RNA is filed under the name uncultured bacterium. RNAcentral describes it as "bacterial SSU rRNA". It matches the Rfam family "Bacterial small subunit ribosomal RNA", at positions 28 to 416 of the family's 1533-position model. The record is from RNAcentral.